AAUAGAAUGAAAACUGCAGGUGCCGGUUGGAUAAGAUUGAUCAGAGCCGGUGAAAAGGGAAACAGGUGCAAGUCCUGUACGAACUCGUCACUGUGAGCAGGGAAUAUCAGAAAAGAAAAAAGUCACUGGAUAACGGGAAGACAAGCUUCUGAUGUAUGGAUCUGUGAGUCAGGAGACCUGCCUGUAGCGUACAUGGAAG
This 199-nucleotide non-coding RNA is filed under the name Dorea longicatena. Lineage: Bacteria; Bacillati; Bacillota; Clostridia; Lachnospirales; Lachnospiraceae. The record is from RNAcentral.